This 504-nucleotide ribosomal RNA is filed under the name uncultured bacterium. RNAcentral's name for it is "partial 16S ribosomal RNA". It matches the Rfam family "Bacterial small subunit ribosomal RNA", at positions 30 to 523 of the family's 1533-position model. The record is from RNAcentral.
AUUGAACGCUGGCGGCAGGCCUAACACAUGCAAGUCGAACGGUAGCACAGAGAGCUUGCUCUCGGGUGACGAGUGGCGGACGGGUGAGUAACGUCUGGGAAACUGCCCGAUGGAGGGGGAUAACUACUGGAAACGGUAGCUAAUACCGCAUAACGUCGCAAGACCAAAGUGGGGGACCUUCGGGCCUCACACCAUCGGAUGUGCCCAGAUGGGAUUAGCUAGUAGGUGGGGUAAUGGCUCACCUAGGCGACGAUCCCUAGCUGGUCUGAGAGGAUGACCAGCCACACUGGAACUGAGAGACGGUCCAGACUCCUACGGGAGGCAGCAGUGGGGAAUAUUGCACAAUGGGCGCAAGCCUGAUGCAGCCAUGCCGCGUGUAUGAAGAAGGCCUUCGGGUUGUAAAGUACUUUCAGCGGGGAGGAAGGCGGUGGAGUUAAUAACUUCACCGAUUGACGUUACCCGCAGAAGAAGCACCGGCUAACUCCGUGCCAGCCGCCGCAGUAA